CCUACGGGUGGCAGCAGUCGAGAAUCAUUCACAAUGGGGGAAACCCUGAUGGUGCGACGCCGCGUGGGGGAAUGAAGGUCUUCGGAUUGUAAACCCCUGUCAUGUGGGAGCAAAUUAAAAAGAUAGUACCACAAGAGGAAGAGACGGCUAACUCUGUGCCAGCAGCCGCGGUAAUACAGAGGUCUCAAGCGUUGUUCGGAAUCACUGGGCGUAAAGCGUGCGUAGGCUGUUUCGUAAGUCGUGUGUGAAAGGUGCGGGCUCAACCCGCGGACGGCACAUGAUACUGCGAGACUAGAGUAAUGGAGAGGGAGCCGGAAUUCUCGGUGUAGCAGUGAAAUGCGUAGAUAUCGAGAGGAACACUCGUGGCGAAGGCGGGUUCCUGGACAUUAACUGACGCUGAGGCACGAAGGCCAGGGGAGCGAAAGGGAUUAGAUACCCGAGUAGUC
Molecule: ribosomal RNA, 446 nt
Filed under: uncultured bacterium
Lineage: Bacteria
Description: partial 16S ribosomal RNA
Rfam family: Bacterial small subunit ribosomal RNA
Source: RNAcentral